RNAcentral lists this ribosomal RNA (477 nucleotides) under Spirocerca lupi. RNAcentral's name for it is "SSU rRNA". It matches the Rfam family "Eukaryotic small subunit ribosomal RNA", at positions 83 to 556 of the family's 1831-position model. The record is from RNAcentral. Lineage: Eukaryota; Metazoa; Nematoda; Chromadorea; Rhabditida; Thelaziidae.
GAAACCGCGAACGGCUCAUUAUAACAGCUAUAAUGUACUUGAUCUUGAUUAUCCAAUGUGGAUAACUGUGGCAAUUCUAGAGCUAAUACAUGCACCAAAGCUCCGACUUUUGGACGAGCGCAUCUAUUAGAUUAAAACCAAUCGGGCUUUACAGCCCGCCAUAAUGGUGACUCUGAAUAGCUCUGGCUGAUCGCAUGGUCUUGUACCGGCGACAUAUCUAUCAAGUGUCUGCCUUAUCAACUUUCGAUGGUAGUUUAUGUGCCUACCAUGGUUGUAACGGGUAACGGAGAAUAAGGGUUCGACUCCGGAGAGGGAGCCUGAGAAACGGCUACCACAUCCAAGGAAGGCAGCAGGCGCGCAAAUUACCCACUCUCGGCAUGAGGAGGUAGUGACGAAAAAUAACGAGACCGUUCUCUUUGAGGCCGGUUAUCGGAAUGGGUACAAUUUAAACCCGUUAACGAGGAUCUAUGAGAGGGC